AAUAAUAGCAUAACGGUUUACUCAAGGGUGGUCGGCACACUCCCAUGAAAGGGGGUGUUGCUGUAUGACAGUAUUUGAAGGAAUUUCCCUUAUGUUGACGUUCGGGCUACUGAUCGUUGCAUUGCUGUCCUUUCACAACCACAAAAAAUAAUCCACCCUUGAGUUAGCGGCUCAGGUGGAUUAUUCGUAACCAUCGGCCGAUCCCCCUUGCAGGGAACCGAGCUAUUAUUUGACUGAAGGUGCUGGAACACCUUCA
RNAcentral lists this small RNA (256 nucleotides) under Shouchella clausii KSM-K16. RNAcentral's name for it is "Bacillus clausii KSM-K16 BsrG". It matches the Rfam family "BsrG". Rfam says of the family: bsrE, bsrG and bsrH pair through intermolecular interactions with antisense sRNAs. SR4 interaction with the 3'UTR of bsrG RNA promotes bsrG degradation and inhibits its translation. The record is from Rfam by way of RNAcentral. RNAcentral also lists the same sequence under 1 other name. Lineage: Bacteria; Bacillati; Bacillota; Bacilli; Caryophanales; Bacillaceae.